This 255-nucleotide ribosomal RNA is filed under the name Clostridioides difficile. RNAcentral describes it as "partial 23S ribosomal RNA". It matches the Rfam family "Bacterial large subunit ribosomal RNA", at positions 671 to 925 of the family's 2925-position model. The record is from RNAcentral. Lineage: Bacteria; Bacillati; Bacillota; Clostridia; Peptostreptococcales; Peptostreptococcaceae.
GCGAAAGCGAGUUUUAACUGAGCGUUCAGUUACUUGACGUAGACCCGAAACCGGGCGACCUACCCAUGAGCAGGAUGAAGCGAAAGUAAAAUUUCGUGGAGGUCCGAACCCACGAGCGUUGAAAAGCUCGGGGAUGACUUGUGGGUAGCGGUGAAAUUCCAAUCGAGCCCGGAGAUAGCUGGUUCUCCCCGAAAUAGCUUUAGGGCUAGCCUCAAGGUGAGAGAUACGGAGGUAGAGCACUGAAUGUCCUAGGGG